This 1266-nucleotide ribosomal RNA is filed under the name Vibrio cholerae CT 5369-93. RNAcentral describes it as "bacterial LSU rRNA". It matches the Rfam family "Bacterial large subunit ribosomal RNA", at positions 1680 to 2925 of the family's 2925-position model. The record is from RNAcentral. Lineage: Bacteria; Pseudomonadati; Pseudomonadota; Gammaproteobacteria; Vibrionales; Vibrionaceae.
ACCAAGGCGCUUGAGAGAACUCGGGUGAAGGAACUAGGCAAAAUGGUACCGUAACUUCGGGAGAAGGUACGCUCUUGAUGGUGAAGUCCCUCGCGGAUGGAGCUGACGAGAGUCGCAGAUACCAGGUGGCUGCAACUGUUUAUUAAAAACACAGCACUGUGCAAAAUCGCAAGAUGACGUAUACGGUGUGACGCCUGCCCGGUGCCGGAAGGUUAAUUGAUGGGGUUAGCGCAAGCGAAGCUCUUGAUCGAAGCCCCGGUAAACGGCGGCCGUAACUAUAACGGUCCUAAGGUAGCGAAAUUCCUUGUCGGGUAAGUUCCGACCUGCACGAAUGGCGUAAUGAUGGCCACGCUGUCUCCACCCGAGACUCAGUGAAAUUGAAAUCGCUGUGAAGAUGCAGUGUACCCGCGGCUAGACGGAAAGACCCCGUGAACCUUUACUACAGCUUGGCACUGAACAUUGAACCUACAUGUGUAGGAUAGGUGGGAGGCUAUGAAGACGUGACGCCAGUUGCGUUGGAGCCGUCCUUGAAAUACCACCCUUGUAUGUUUGAUGUUCUAACUUAGACCCAUUAUCCGGGUUGAGGACAGUGCCUGGUGGGUAGUUUGACUGGGGCGGUCUCCUCCCAAAGAGUAACGGAGGAGCACGAAGGUGGGCUAAUCACGGUUGGACAUCGUGAGGUUAGUGCAAUGGCAUAAGCCCGCUUAACUGCGAGAAUGACGGUUCGAGCAGGUGCGAAAGCAGGUCAUAGUGAUCCGGUGGUUCUGUAUGGAAGGGCCAUCGCUCAACGGAUAAAAGGUACUCCGGGGAUAACAGGCUGAUACCGCCCAAGAGUUCAUAUCGACGGCGGUGUUUGGCACCUCGAUGUCGGCUCAUCACAUCCUGGGGCUGAAGUCGGUCCCAAGGGUAUGGCUGUUCGCCAUUUAAAGUGGUACGCGAGCUGGGUUUAGAACGUCGUGAGACAGUUCGGUCCCUAUCUGCCGUGGGCGUUGGAAGAUUGAAGGGGGCUGCUCCUAGUACGAGAGGACCGGAGUGGACGAACCUCUGGUGUUCGGGUUGUGUCGCCAGACGCAUUGCCCGGUAGCUAAGUUCGGAAUUGAUAAGCGCUGAAAGCAUCUAAGCGCGAAGCGAGCCCUGAGAUGAGUCUUCCCUGAUACUUUAAGUAUCCUAAAGGGUUGUUCGAGACUAGAACGUUGAUAGGCAGGGUGUGUAAGCGUUGUGAGGCGUUGAGCUAACCUGUACUAAUUGCCCGUGAGGCUUAACCAU